GGUCGGAAGUUGCUCACCUUCAUCUGUUGGAAGAGCUUGAACGCUGCAUCAAGGCGUCCUGACUUAGCUAGACUUGGAAUCAUUAACUCAUAACUCGAUGCAUCUAAUGAACACCCGGCUUUUUCCAUGUUCUCAUAUAUCUCAAAUGCCUUGUAUGGCAAACCAUUGUUUAAGAACACGGUGAUAAGGGAAUUGUAUGUCCCGGUAUCAACUAUGCAACCAGACUCUUGAAUUUUCUUAAAACAACAGAAUGCUACCUCAAAUUUCUCUGCCUUAGCUAGGUACUGGAUGACUCUAUUAUACGCAUUAAACAAAGACGACGCCCCAUUCUCGCCUGAAUCAAGAACCAUAUCAUCGA
RNAcentral lists this unclassified non-coding RNA (358 nucleotides) under Hevea brasiliensis (rubber tree). The record is from RNAcentral. Lineage: Eukaryota; Viridiplantae; Streptophyta; Magnoliopsida; Malpighiales; Euphorbiaceae.